Molecule: ribosomal RNA, 513 nt
Filed under: Trichocera major
Lineage: Eukaryota; Metazoa; Arthropoda; Insecta; Diptera; Trichoceridae
Description: partial large subunit ribosomal RNA
Rfam family: Bacterial large subunit ribosomal RNA
Source: RNAcentral
GUCUUUUUGUAAUAUAUUUAAAGUCUAACCUGCCCACUGAAAAAUUUAAAGGGCCGCGGUAUUUUGACCGUGCAAAGGUAGCAUAAUCAUUAGUCUUUUAAUUGAAGGCUUGUAUGAAUGGUUGGACGUAGUAUUAGCUGUCUCAUAAAAAAUUUAAAUAGAAUUUAACUUUUUAAUUAAAAGGUUAAAAUAAAUUUAAAAGACGAGAAGACCCCAUAGAGCUUUAUAAUAAUUAAAUAUAAUUUAUUUAGAAAAAUUAAAAUAAUAUUUUUUUUAUUAUUUUGUUGGGGUGACAAUAAAAUUAAAUAAACUUUUAUUAAUUAUAAACAUUAAUUUAUGAAUAAUUGAUCCAGUUAUAUUGAUUAUAAAAUUAAGUUACCUUGGGGAUAACAGCGUAAUUUUUUUUAAGAGUUCAUAUCGACAAAAAAGAUUGCGACCUCGAUGUUGGAUUAAGGGUAUUUUUGGGUGUAGAAGUUCAAAGUUUAGGUCUGUUCGACCUUUGAAUCCUUACAU